RNAcentral lists this ribosomal RNA (484 nucleotides) under uncultured bacterium. RNAcentral describes it as "partial 16S ribosomal RNA". It matches the Rfam family "Bacterial small subunit ribosomal RNA", at positions 30 to 507 of the family's 1533-position model. The record is from RNAcentral.
AUUGAACGCUGGCGGCAGGCCUAACACAUGCAAGUCGAGCGGAUGAAGGGAGCUUGCUCCUGGAUUCAGCGGCGGACGGGUGAGUAAUGCCUAGGAAUCUGCCUGGUAGUGGGGGAUAACGUCCGGAAACGGGCGCUAAUACCGCAUACGUCCUGAGGGAGAAAGUGGGGGAUCUUCGGACCUCACGCUAUCAGAUGAGCAUAGGUCGGAUUAGCUAGUUGGUGGGGUAAAGGCCUACCAAGGCGACGAUCCGUAACUCGUCUGAGAGGAUGAUCAGUCACACUGGAACUGAGACACGGUCCAGACUCCGACGGGAGGCAGCAGUGGGGAAUAUUGGACGAUGGGCGAAAGCCUGAUCCUGCCAUGCCGCGUGUGUGAAGAAGGUCUUCGGAUUGGAAAGCACUUUAAGUUGGGAGGAAGGGCAGUAAGUUAAUACCUGGCUGUUUUGACGUUACCAACAGAAUAAGCACCGGCUAACUUCGUG